ACACGUAGGGGCCUGACGUUGUUCGGAAUCAUUGGGCGUAAAGGGCGCGCAGGCGGCCGUCCAAGUCCGGUGUUAAAUGGUCGGGCUCAACCCGAUCAUGCGCUGGAAACUGGGCGGCUUGAGUCCCGUAGGGGAUGCCGGAAUUCCAGGUGUAGGGGUGAAAUCUGUAGAUAUCUGGAAGAACACCGAUGGCGAAGGGAGGCAUCUGGCCGGAGACUGACGCUGAGGCGCGAAGGCGCGGGGAGCGAACAGGUUUAGAUACCCUGGUAGUCCGCGCAGUAAACGAUGCGCACCAGGUGUCGGGCGGCAGCGCCCGGUACCGGAGCUAACGCGAUGAGUGCGCCGCCUGGGGAGUAUGCCCGCAAGGGUGAAACUCAAAUGAAUUGACGGGG
This 392-nucleotide ribosomal RNA is filed under the name uncultured bacterium. Its description in RNAcentral is "partial 16S ribosomal RNA". It matches the Rfam family "Bacterial small subunit ribosomal RNA", at positions 523 to 918 of the family's 1533-position model. The record is from RNAcentral.